This is a small nuclear RNA of 116 nucleotides. Its record names the gene U1. It matches the Rfam family "U1 spliceosomal RNA". Rfam says of the family: U1 is a small nuclear RNA (snRNA) component of the spliceosome (involved in pre-mRNA splicing). Its 5' end forms complementary base pairs with the 5' splice junction, thus defining the 5' donor site of an intron. The record is from Ensembl.
AUAUUUACUUGGCAGGGGAGAUACCAUUAUCAAGAAGGCGGUUCACCCAGGGUGAGGCUCGUCCAUUGCAGUCCGGUCGUACUGACUAGGGCUGCACGAUGUGUUGUUUAAGCAUC